UGGGGAAUUUUGCACAAUGGGCGCAAGCCUGAUGCAGCGACGCCGCGUGAGGGAUGAAGGCCUUCGGGUUGUAAACCUUUUUCGCUCAUGGUCAAGCCGCAGCUUUGGGUUGUGGUGAGGGUAGUGGGUAAAGAAGCGCCGGCUAACUACGUGCCAGCAGCCGCGGUAAUACGUAGGGCGCGAGCGUUGUCCGGAAUUAUUGGGUGUAAAGGGCUUGUAGGCGGUUGGCCGCGUCUGCCGUGAAAUCCUCUGGCUUAACUGGGGGCGUGCGGUGGGUACGGGUUGACUUGAGUGCGGUAGGGGAGAGUGGAAUUCCAUGUGUAGCGGUGAAAUGCGUAGGUAUAUGGAGGAACACCGGUGGCGAAAGCGGCUCUCUGGUCUGUAACUGACGCUGAGGCUCGAAAGCGUGGGGAGCGAACAGG
Molecule: ribosomal RNA, 422 nt
Filed under: Bacteroidota bacterium
Lineage: Bacteria; Pseudomonadati; Bacteroidota
Description: Bacteroidetes bacterium partial 16S ribosomal RNA
Rfam family: Bacterial small subunit ribosomal RNA
Source: RNAcentral